This 253-nucleotide ribosomal RNA is filed under the name uncultured bacterium. RNAcentral's name for it is "partial 16S ribosomal RNA". It matches the Rfam family "Bacterial small subunit ribosomal RNA", at positions 524 to 776 of the family's 1533-position model. The record is from RNAcentral.
UACGUAGGGUGCGAGCGUUGUCCGGAAUUACUGGGCGUAAAGAGCUUGUAGGUGGUUUGUCGCGUUGUUCGUGAAAACUCGAGGCUCAACCUCGAGACGUCGGCGGAAACCAUCUGGCUAGAGUCCGGAAGAGGAGAGUGGAAUUCCUGGUGUAGCGGUGAAAUGCGCAGAUAUCAGGAAGAACACCCGUGGCGAAGGCGGCUCUCUGGGACGGUACUGACGCUGAGACGCGAAAGCGUGGGGAGCGAACAGG